This 216-nucleotide long non-coding RNA is filed under the name Lathyrus oleraceus (garden pea). Its description in RNAcentral is "Pisum sativum (pea) long non-coding RNA (PSAT_LNC005303)". Lineage: Eukaryota; Viridiplantae; Streptophyta; Magnoliopsida; Fabales; Fabaceae. The record is from RNAcentral.
GAAGAGAAAUAUUUUAGAAUUUUUAUUAAUGAGAGAGGACCUAAAAGGUUUUCAUUAUUUAGGGUUUAGAAAGGAACUAAACCUAAUUUUUUUAUUAACGAGACUGACAAGAUUUACAAAUCCUGCUCCUACGUAUCUCCAGGUGCAAUAGAGAAUUCAAGGCUUACGUAGUUCUAGGUAGAAAAUGUUUGCUUGUUGGUCGAUUUUAGCGAAAGC